UACGGAGGGUCCCAAGCGUUAUCCGGAAUCAUUGGGUUUAAAGGGUGCGCAGGCGGUAAAGUAAGUCAGUGGUGAAAUCCCUUCGCUCAACGAAGGAACUGCCAUUGAUACUAUCAGUCUUGAAUUCUCUGGAGGUAAGCGGAAUAUGUCAUGUAGCGGUGAAAUGCUUAGAUAUGACAUAGAACACCCAUUGCGAAGGCAGCUUACUACGGAGACAUUGACACUGAGGCUCGAAAGCGUGGGGAUCAAACAGGAUUAGAAA
This 262-nucleotide ribosomal RNA is filed under the name uncultured bacterium. RNAcentral describes it as "partial 16S ribosomal RNA". It matches the Rfam family "Bacterial small subunit ribosomal RNA", at positions 524 to 784 of the family's 1533-position model. The record is from RNAcentral.